Molecule: ribosomal RNA, 484 nt
Filed under: uncultured bacterium
Lineage: Bacteria
Description: partial 16S ribosomal RNA
Rfam family: Bacterial small subunit ribosomal RNA
Source: RNAcentral
AUUGAACGCUGGCGGCAGGCCUAACACAUGCAAGUCGAGCGGAUGAAGGGAGCUUGCUCCUGGAUUCAGCGGCGGACGGGUGAGUAAUGCCUAGGAAUCUGCCUGGUAGUGGGGGAUAACGUCCGGAAACGGGCGCUAAUACCGCAUACGUCCUGAGGGAGAAAGUGGGGGAUCUUCGGACCUCACGCUAUCAGAUGAGCCUAGGUCGGAUUAGCUAGUUGGUGGGAUAAAGGCCUACCAAGGCGACGAUCCGUAACUGGUCUGAGAGGAUGAUCAGUCACACUGGAACUGAGACACGGUCCAGACUCCUACGGGAGGCAGCAGUGGGGAAUAUUAGACAAUGGGCGAAAGCCUGAUCCAGCCAUGCCGCGUGUGUGAAGAAGGUCUUCGGAUUGUAAAGCACUUUAAGUUGGGAGGAAGGGCAGUAAGUUAAUACCUUGCUGUUUUGACGUUACCAACAGAAUAAGCACCGGCUAACUUCGUG